CAAGCUCUCGGAAAAGAGAGGCCUGGAAGGUGGUCAGCAGAGCCAUUUGGAACCAAUCCUGAUAAAAGGAUUCAAACCUAUGAGGAAAGAGCUUAUCCCCCUCCACCCAUAUGACACAUCCCACAUUUUGGCUGGAAACCCAUAUAUUAUGAAGACCAUUGUAAGUACUGAGCCUAAAGCCUUCUUCAUCUGCUUCUGAUUUGCAUAAUGCUGAUGCUUCUAUCUCUGUGGACUAUCAUUUGACUCUAUGGGAGAAUUUAUUCAAUAAGAUAAACAAACAGCUUGCUAUUCCAGAAAAAAUUUUUUUUAAAUAUUGCCCAUUGUCUAAGUCUGUUGCAAAGUUCUGUGAUUCCCCUUUAAAAGUGGAUGCAUCGGAUACACACGUCUAAAAGAAUGCUAUUUCCUAUGG
This is a long non-coding RNA of Bombina bombina (fire-bellied toad), 409 nucleotides long. RefSeq lists it as uncharacterized. The record is from RefSeq and is a predicted model, not a curated record. The transcript has 3 exons. NCBI's taxonomy places the organism in Eukaryota, Metazoa, Chordata, Amphibia, Anura, Bombinatoridae.